Molecule: small nucleolar RNA, 130 nt
Organism: Grammomys surdaster
Lineage: Eukaryota; Metazoa; Chordata; Mammalia; Rodentia; Muridae
Product: small nucleolar RNA SNORA61
Exons: 1
Source: RefSeq, a predicted model, not a curated record
CACCUCCUGUUUCCUUUCCUAUGAGAUCUUGAUAUUGAUUCUGAUGAUUGUAAAGGAGAAAAAAAUGCACUGAAUUAGGCCUCAUAGCUAUGUAGUCUAGUGUAAAGCAUAGGGCUAAAUUCAAACAUGC